Acipenser ruthenus (sterlet) is the source of this 708-nucleotide long non-coding RNA. RefSeq lists it as uncharacterized. The record is from RefSeq and is a predicted model, not a curated record. The transcript is spliced from 3 exons. NCBI's taxonomy places the organism in Eukaryota, Metazoa, Chordata, Actinopteri, Acipenseriformes, Acipenseridae.
CACUCACAGAGGCUGAAGAGAUGGCCCUCAGUCAAAACAGUGGGCGACCUAUUGCUGAAGGCAUCUCUGGAGGAAGCUCAUCUGACCCAACCACCCCCCAGGACACAAGGGCCUACAUAAGAGUUACUGAUGGUGUAACCUGUCUGGUGGAGCCUUCUGCCAUAACAGACCUCCAUGCAGUUGAGGAUGAUGAUGAAGACACCUUGUCAGCUGCCACAGAGAGGGAAGAUACAGAGAGACCUAUUGAGGUUCACACCUUAAAAGUAACAUCUAACAGUUGAUGAUAGUGUUGUACCAUAAUAAAACUUGCACAUUCUUUUUCUCUAAGAGCGAAAAAGAUGCUGGAAAUUACAGUGAGGAAGAGGGUCCAUCCACCUCCACAGCACAACUUACCUCAGUAAGAUGUUGUUCAGCAUUGGCCCAUGACUUACAAUGAAACUAAGUCGACCUGGCACUGUGAAAUUCAAUGUCAUUUUUUUGUGUUCCUAUAGCUCCCUGUGAAACAGCUGUACAAGGUGUACUUAAAUAAACAAAUUGAAAAAUGUAAUUUAGAAAUGGACCACAUAAGGCUGCAGAUGCGAAAGGCAAAACUAGAAAUACAACUGCUGGAACAUCAGUUAAAGGUGGGUGAGAUGCCCACAGGUGGAUGAUGUUACUUGUUUGAACAACAUAAAAAAUAUUAACUACUGUACUGCAUUUGUACUUGCA